RNAcentral lists this ribosomal RNA (376 nucleotides) under uncultured organism. RNAcentral's name for it is "partial 16S ribosomal RNA". It matches the Rfam family "Bacterial small subunit ribosomal RNA", at positions 527 to 896 of the family's 1533-position model. The record is from RNAcentral.
GUAGGGGGCGAGCGUUGUCCGGAUUUAUUGGGGCGUAAAGAGCUCGUAGGCGGUUGCGUAAGUCGGGAUGUGAAAACUCAGGGGCUCAACCCUGAGAUGCCAUUCGAUACUGCGCUGACUCGAGUCCGGUAGGGGAGCAUGGAAUUCCUGGUGUAGCGGUGAAAUGCGCAGAUAUCAGGAGGAACACCAGUGGCGAAGGCGGUGCUCUGGGCCGGUACUGACGCUGAGGAGCGAAAGCAUGGGUAGCAAACAGGAUUAGAUACCCUGGUAGUCCAUGCCGUAAACGUUGGGCACUAGGUGUGGGGCCUACUUAACGGGUUCCGUGCCGUAGCUAACGCAUUAAGUGCCCCGCCUGGGGAGUACGGCCGCAAGGCUA